This 406-nucleotide ribosomal RNA is filed under the name uncultured bacterium. RNAcentral describes it as "partial 16S ribosomal RNA". It matches the Rfam family "Bacterial small subunit ribosomal RNA", at positions 30 to 526 of the family's 1533-position model. The record is from RNAcentral.
AUUGAACGCUGGCGGCAGGCCUAACACAUGCAAGUCGGACGAGCGGCGGACGGGUGGAUAAUGUAUUGGCAUCUGCCUGAUGGAGGGGGAUAACUACUGGAAACGUUAGCUAAUACCGCUUACCAUCAUAUGGACCCAUGUUGGAUUAGCUUGUAGGUGUGGUAACGGCUCAUCUAGGCGACGAUCCCUAGCUGGUCUGAGAGGGUGAUCAGCCACACUGGGACUGAGACACGGCCCAGACUCCUACGGGAGGCAGCAGUGGGGAAUAUUGGGCAAUGGGCGCAAGCCUGAUGGAGCAACGCCGCGUGAAUGAAGAAGGCUUGCGGGUUGUAAAGUACUGUCAGUAGGGAGGCGUUACCGACAGAAGAAGCAACGGCUAACUCCGUGCCAGCAGCCGCGGUAAUUC